This 234-nucleotide unclassified non-coding RNA is filed under the name Hevea brasiliensis (rubber tree). The record is from RNAcentral. Lineage: Eukaryota; Viridiplantae; Streptophyta; Magnoliopsida; Malpighiales; Euphorbiaceae.
AAAUCAAUAAACUUCAUAGAUAGAAAGAAAAUUAAAUUUCUGAGAAAACUUGUCUUUUUAUGAGACUUUAGCGGUAUUGAGACCUCUGCCAUUGAGCUAUUCUACUUCUAACCUGCACUAUUGUUUACACCACAAGCAUUACAUGAGCAUCAAACUGAGAAUCACAUUAUUUAAGAUAGAUUUGUUAAUAAUCCAUGAUAGAAAACAGUUGGAAAGUAGGCACUAUAAUGUCAG